Molecule: long non-coding RNA, 848 nt
Organism: Periophthalmus magnuspinnatus
Lineage: Eukaryota; Metazoa; Chordata; Actinopteri; Gobiiformes; Gobiidae
Exons: 4
Source: RefSeq, a predicted model, not a curated record
CCUGUGAUGCUCCUGUGUGAGUCGCAGAUGAAAAUAUACUUAAAAUGAGAUGUUUUCAGAUGUGUUCAUAUUGUUUUUGGAUCGUAGUGUUAGUUUCACUGCGGUGCUGCUGUGGAACUGGCCAAGUCUCGCUGAAGGUGGCUCCUGGUAUCAAUCUGUUUGAAGGCAGCUUCUUUGUGCUGAAAUGUGUCCCUGAAGAGCGAGCUGCAGACUGGACGGUCCACAGGAACGCCACCGCCCGCCCUGUCCCCCAGCGCUGUGGUCAGGGCUGGGGCAAAUAGCUGAGUAACAGCUGUAAGGUGGGACUGGCCGUGACGUGGGACAGCGGGCUGUACUGGUGCCAGUCCACAGAGGGCGCCAUCAGCAGCACAGUCGGCGUCAGAGUGGCCAGGGGUAAACUCUUGGUGGUAGUGCCGUUCUUCCCGGUGUCUGAGGGCGAGGACGUGACCCUGAGCUGUUUGAACCGGAGCCGUUCCACCGUGUCCGCACACUUCUACAAGGACGACCUCCAAGUGACCUCUGACCCCCGCCCCGACCUCCGCCUCCGCGCUGUGAGCUGGUCUGAGCGGGGCUCGUACAAGUGCAGCACUGGAGCCACGGAGUCGUCACCCGUUCUGCUGCAAGUCCACAACCGCAGUUGGACAGAGACAGAGGUCCCUCCCACAAGCUCUACGUCUGACUCCGCCCACAUGCACAUGGUCUCGAGGCUGCUCUGCCUCCUGCUGGUCUUCUGCCCGUACUGCAUCUCCACAGGGCUCAUGGUCUCCCUGUGUCGACAACAAAGACUCAACGGUAAACACUGAAACUGAAACCUGAACCAGGUCUAAAGCAGGUCUAAAGCAGGUCUA